Molecule: ribosomal RNA, 499 nt
Filed under: uncultured bacterium
Lineage: Bacteria
Description: partial 16S ribosomal RNA
Rfam family: Bacterial small subunit ribosomal RNA
Source: RNAcentral
GACGAACGCUGGCGGCGUGCCUAAUACAUGCAAGUCGAGCGAAGUUUUUCUGGUGCUUGCACUAGAAAAACUUAGCGGCGAACGGGUGAGUAACACGUAAAGAACCUGCCUCAUAGACUGGGACAACUAUUGGAAACGAUAGCUAAUACCGGAUAACAGUAUUUCUCGCAUGAGAGAUAUUUAAAAGUUGGUUAUGCUAACACUAUGAGAUGGCUUUGCGGUGCAUUAGCUAGUUGGUGGGGUAAAGGCCCACCAAGGCGACGAUGCAUAGCCGACCUGAGGGGGGGGUCGGCCACAGUGGGACGAGGACAGGGCCGAGACCCCUACGGGAGGAGCAGGUGGGGACUCUUCGGCAAGGGGGGAAGGCCGGACGGGGCACGCCCGGGGGAGUAAAGAGGGUUUUGGGUUGUAAAAGCUUUUUGUUAGGGGAAAAAGGGAUAUGAAGUAACAAUACAUGUAAGGAACGGUACCUAACAAGAAGGCAAGGGCUAACUAGGGC